AAAUUAGUAAAAUGUUCGAAUACAUCCAAUCUUCUCCCCACUGAUUUUGGUAUUGGCCAUAUUUGGUAGUGAGGGGAAAUGCCAAGCGGAAGCUUCAAAUAGAUACAUCCGGUGAAAUAUUUGUCUCAUUGUUCUGUGGUAAAAACCUUUUUGGCUUCGCGUCUUCACGGCCCGGUCCACAUCUGGGAGGGUCAACCGGGUCGAUGCAGCGACAAGACGGGAAGUGGAUGAACUUGCGCCACUAAACGAUAUAUUUUCACAGUACGCAAAUGACCUGAUUUUUUUUAAAUUAAUUUUAUUUUUGGAAACCCAUCACCAAUAUCCAACAUGGGGAGGGAAAGGAAGUGCAUUCUCUGUCAGAUCGUAUACAGCUCCAAACAGGAGAUGGAUGAGCAUAACUGAAGAGCAUGCUGCAUC
This is a long non-coding RNA of Oncorhynchus masou masou (cherry salmon), 417 nucleotides long. RefSeq lists it as uncharacterized. Lineage: Eukaryota; Metazoa; Chordata; Actinopteri; Salmoniformes; Salmonidae. The record is from RefSeq and is a predicted model, not a curated record. The transcript is spliced from 3 exons.